This 1509-nucleotide long non-coding RNA is filed under the name Marmota monax (woodchuck). The record is from RNAcentral. Lineage: Eukaryota; Metazoa; Chordata; Mammalia; Rodentia; Sciuridae.
UCAAUCCCAAACUUUUCUACACUUGCAUGUCACCCUUGCCACCUCCCCCAAAUCUUGUCCAAAAUUCUUAUGACCAGUUCUUGCAUCAAGCAAGCAGCAUAGCAGGCUUCAGGCUGGACUUAAUACUGCCUUGGGAACAGCAAAUACAUUCAGCAGGUCACCCUCCAAAUAUGGCAACUGUGGGAGGAGAUAGACACUGGGAGCAGAGCCCUGGCCUUGAGCCUUAUCCUCUCCCAUGGCCACUGGUGUUAAAAUAGUGAGAAGUCAAUGAAGUACUUCUUUGUUCCAAGAGCCAGGUUUUGGCAGGAAUGCCCAGAGAUAGAGCUGCCCAGCUGAGGAGCUAAGUCUCAUAGCCCUAGGAUAGGGCUUCCAGUUUCUCUCCCAAGACUGUUUGUGUUAAGGCAGCUUUUUCUUGGUUAUGUGUCAACUAUGUCAAAGGAAAUUUGAUGGAAUUCCUAGCCAGAAAUGGUUUCACAGGCCAUUAGUCUGCUAUUGAGAAUGUGAGUUUAAAGAAUGCUCUGGCUCAAUGUUGGAUCUAGAGUCCAGACUCUUUUCAAAGCAUCCACCAGGCAGCACAGGUAUCCCUUAAAAUGAAUUUGGUGGAUAAACACCUCCCAGGAUUGGCCUCUGCCUGGUCUCAGGGUUUCUCAUUAAUAUGGCCUGCCAGCCCAGUUCUUGGAACACCAGAAACUCAAAUAGUUCUCUAUAGGGAAAUAUUUUCCAACUUUGGGCAUUGAAGGAAAUGGGCACUUGAGAGCCUUGAUUCCAGCCUUUCCAAUAUUGAGGGAAGGGCACAUAUCUAUCCUCCUGGGCAGGUUAUUUUAUAAGGAACUUUAUCAUGGCUUCAUAUUCUCCAGACAUUCAGCCUUCCCCAAUGAUAAUCCACUCUGCUCUAGCUGGAAGCAGAGGUACCUUCACAAUGGCAUUUUGACUUCAAUCAAAUUCUUUUGAGGACAAAUUGCCUGUCAAUCCUAACUGUUCCCUGGUACUAUUGGGUAACUCCAGCAAACACAUUCCUUAUCACUAAUGCUAAUCCUACAAAUCAGAAGGUUUUUCUCAGAUUACCAACCUAGCAACUCCCUUCGCCUCCAUUCCAGUUACAGGGCCAUAAACUACACAGCACCACACAUAAUACCUUUAAGAGACAUGAUACAUGACAAAUACCUAACAACAUACAACACAUUUUGGUAAAUCCAACCCCAAUGUGGAUUCACAGUGUCCAAGGAUCCAUUUACCUCACUAGAGGCAAACUGUCCACAUAUGCUGCAGUGACUGUCACUGGACCCUUGAGCAGUAUACUCACCUCAGGUAUUACAGGUAAACAUAAGACUGCAAAGUGUCCAUGACCCCCUUACUGAAGAUUCAACUCCUGACCCGCUGCUCCGGUCCACCUACAGCACAAAUCCUACAUAACAAGAUCUACAUAUUUUUUUUUACCAUACCUGGCCCACUGCAAUUACCACAGGCAGCCCAAGAGCUCUCAGGUGGAAUGGGGGUUAGAGAAAAGAC